AAGUGCCUACCCAAAGGAAACCGUUAGGCCCAGAUAGCAUCUCAGUCACCCAAGAAAAUAUGGAAGUUCUCAAUGAAUGACAGAGAGACACUAAAAGGACACCGAAGCCCGCUUACAGGAGUAUCGGCUUAGGUCACGAUCUCAUGGUCGUGAGUUCGAGCCCCACGCCGGGUUCUGUGCUGAGCCUACAGCCUGCUUGGGAUUCUCUCUCUCCC
Molecule: long non-coding RNA, 215 nt
Organism: Herpailurus yagouaroundi (jaguarundi)
Lineage: Eukaryota; Metazoa; Chordata; Mammalia; Carnivora; Felidae
Exons: 2
Source: RefSeq, a predicted model, not a curated record